Molecule: ribosomal RNA, 548 nt
Filed under: Begonia scapigera
Lineage: Eukaryota; Viridiplantae; Streptophyta; Magnoliopsida; Cucurbitales; Begoniaceae
Description: eukaryotic LSU rRNA
Rfam family: Eukaryotic large subunit ribosomal RNA
Source: RNAcentral
AAAUCGGGCGGUAAAUUCCGUCCAAGGCUAAAUAUUGGCGAGAGACCGAUAGCAAACAAGUACCGCGAGGGAAAGAUGAAAAGGACUUUGAGAAAAGAGUCAAAGAGUACUUGAAAUUGUCGGGAGGGAAGCGGAUGGGGGCCGGCGGUGCGCCCCGGUCGGAUGUGGAACGGCGCGAGCCGGUCUGCCGAUCGACUCGGGGCGUGGACCGACGCGGAUCGUGGCGGCGGCCCAAGCCCGAGCCUUCGUUGAGCUCGCGGAGACGUCGUCGCGGCGAUCGUGGAAGGCAGCGCGCGCCUUCGGCGUGCUUAGGCAUCAGCRCGCUCCGGGCGUCGGCCUGCGGGCUCCCCAUUCGGCCCGUCUUGAAACACGGACCAAGGAGUCUGACAUGUGUGCGAGUCAACGGGCCAGUAAACCCGCGAGGCGCAAGGAAGCUGACUGGCGGGAUCCCCUUGCGGGUUGCACCGCCGACCGACCUUGAUCUUCUGAGAAGGUUCGAGUGCGAGCAUGCCUGUCGGGACCCGAAAGAUGGUGAACUAUGCCUGAGC